CGGUGGUCAUGGCGAAGGGGAAACGCCCGGUCCCAUUCCGAACCCGGAAGCUAAGCCCUUCAGCGCCGAUGGUACUGCCCUGGGA
RNAcentral lists this ribosomal RNA (85 nucleotides) under Actinorhabdospora filicis. The record is from RNAcentral. Lineage: Bacteria; Bacillati; Actinomycetota; Actinomycetes; Micromonosporales; Micromonosporaceae.